AAACCAACAGGGAUUGCCUCAGUAGCGGCGAGUGAAGCGGCAAAAGCUCAAAUUUGAAAUCUGGCGUCUUUGGCGUCCGAGUUGUAAUUUGAAGAAGGUAUCUUUGGGCCCGGCUCUUGUCUAUGUUCCUUGGAACAGGACGUCACAGAGGGUGAGAAUCCCGUGCGAUGAGAUGACCCGGGUCUGUGUAAAGUUCCUUCGACGAGUCGAGUUGUUUGGGAAUGCAGCUCUAAGUGGGUGGUAAAUUCCAUCUAAAGCUAAAUAUUGGCGAGAGACCGAUAGCGAACAAGUACAGUGAUGGAAAGAUGAAAAGAACUUUGAAAAGAGAGUGAAAAAGUACGUGAAAUUGUUGAAAGGGAAGGGCUUGAGAUCAGACUUGGUAUUUUGCAUGCUGCUCUCUCGGGGGCGGCCGCUGCGGUUUACCGGGCCAGCAUCGGUUUGGAGCGGCAGGAUAAUGGCGGAGGAAUGUGGCACGGCUUCUGCUGUGUGUUAUAGCCUCUGACGAUACUGCCAGCCUAGACCGAGGACUGCGGUUUUUACCUAGGAUGUUGGCAUAAUGAUCUUAAGUCGC
RNAcentral lists this ribosomal RNA (571 nucleotides) under Candida albicans. RNAcentral's name for it is "eukaryotic LSU rRNA". It matches the Rfam family "Eukaryotic large subunit ribosomal RNA", at positions 62 to 648 of the family's 3401-position model. Lineage: Eukaryota; Fungi; Ascomycota; Pichiomycetes; Serinales; Debaryomycetaceae. The record is from RNAcentral.